Rana temporaria (common frog) is the source of this 106-nucleotide small nuclear RNA. The record is from RefSeq and is a predicted model, not a curated record. NCBI's taxonomy places the organism in Eukaryota, Metazoa, Chordata, Amphibia, Anura, Ranidae.
GUGAUUGCUUCGGCAGCACAUAUACUAAAAUUUGUACACUAGAGAGAAGAUUAGCUUGGGUCUGCGCAAGAAUGACAUGCAAAUUGGUGAAGAGUUCAAUAUUUUU